CUUCCCCACAGCAGCCAGGACAUCCCGGGCCACUGCCACAGGGCUUCGGCCCUGGGCCGUGGUCUUGUCCAUAACUGAAGGAAAGGAAACAAACGAGGUGAACUGUCCUCGCUUUCGGAAACACUGUGAAGGAGGAGGAAUAAAGCAGCAGCCUCUCCAGCUUCCUUUCAAGUAGUUCAGGAAGAAAAGAUGAACUGUAUGUAACAUGAGUAUGCACAGAGCAGGACACGGUACGGCACGGGCGAACGAGCAGCCGGACGGACGUCUGCGUGAAGGCUCACGGGAGCAGUCUGUGCUGCUCCUGCAACUUUACGUUUGAAAUCAUUCCAAGAGGUCAGCGUUGCUAAUGGCUCCUCAGGACUUUCACACACGUGAUUUUACAUGAGUUCUUAAUGUUUCGGCGUUGGGAAGGAAGGGGCAUCCAUCAGCCAAGAAGAGGGAAAAGCACGCCUCAGCAAGUCACGCGCGGCAGUGAUGGCUGCGCCGCUCCUUUGGUUUGGGGCAGCCUUGCAUGAUUCUAGAGAACUCCCAGGCUGAGGGUUCUCGCCAGGCUGCACUGUCUCACACCUUGGUGCUGCCGGGCACGCCACUGACUCGGCACCCCAUCUGGACUUGCUGCUGGGACGGCAGUGAGGCCACGGUGCUGUUCUCGCCCUUACGGAUGAGAUGAACCCCCCCCCACCCCCGGAGAACAGCUUGCCCUGGACCUCUCCACUCAGCCCCCAGACCCGCCACAGACCCCGUACUGGAGUCGGCAGGCCAGUCAGGGAACAAAAGCCAGUGGGAUUAAAUCAAAGUAAUUUGGAAAUAAUUUAUAUCGGAACGCUGAGUACCUUAAUUCACCUAUAAUUACUGUUUAACCUCAUCUGCUUUAUCAUUUGUGAUCAUUUGUGUACAUAAAAAAUUUUUCCCUAAACUAUUUAAGCAACAUUAGAUGGGUGUCCUAAGUGAUGAGAGUUGAAGCAGAAUAUUGGAGAACAAAGAUCAGCGAUAGCAAAAAAUCUGGGGCUGGCCCCGUGGCCUAGUGCUUAAGGGAGGCAGAUUCCACACAUAGCCAAUCGCAGUUCAAAUCCCAGUCCUGGUGACUUGAAAAACACUCCAGGUGCAUAUGGGUGCAUACCCGAACUCCCAACAGCACAGAGGAUGGAGAAGGGAUCACACCAUGACCAUGCCCCAUUGGCAGGAGUGUUUCCUCCCUCCCCUUCAGUCUCAUGCACGCACCCUUUGAGGAAAAAAAAACAAAACACACUUUAAAACCAAAACAAAAUGUAGAUUCUGUGUGCUUGCCGGCGUAACAGCAGCAGACGGAUGAAUGAAAUAAUACUUUUUCUUUUUCUUGCCAGAGGGCACAUGUGUUUGCCAGAGAGAUCCCGGGGGGAAGCACCCCAUGGUGGGGCACGGUCACACUGACAAUCCUUUUUCCUCCAUCCCUCCAUCCCGAUGGGAUUUUGAACAUACAUGCACACAUACUCAGCAUGUCUCUUAAGCCACAAGGCUGGUAUUCAAACCGCAAUAGGCCACGCAAGAUCCGGCUCCCUGCGCAUUAUCCUUAACUGCUGCGCUGCAGGGCUGGCCCUGAAACUGCUGCGUGGCCACUCCCACAUGGAGGGGAGAGCGUGAACUGGAAGUCAGUUUGGCAGUUCUAACUUUCUGGUCCUAAAGAGUCCUACUUCUUGGAAUUUAUCUUAUUAAAACCCUCCAUGAGUGGCCAGGAACACAAACAUUCAAGGAUAUACUAUGUGGCACACCAUUGCUAACGGCUGAAGACUGAGAGGAGAAACCCACAAGUGUCCAGGGAAGUGGCAAACUCAGAGGCACCGCACACCCACUGGCUCCCGGUACCUACUAUGCAGCCACUAAACGGGGUGAGGCAGGGCCAGGUGUGGUGCAGUGGCAACAUAAUGGUUCACAUAGGAAAGUCCUGGCCUCGUGCACAGGGGCUCCCUGAGCACUCGGGGUGUGCCUGUGACCCAGGUCAGCCGGGAGGGGGGCGGUCACUGAAAGAUCCUGCUGGAGGUGCCGAUCUCUCUUUCACUGAAGAGAUAAACAGAUAAACUUAAAUAGGGUGAGGGAAAUCUAGAUAGACUGCUGUAGAAAGAUACAUAGUCAAGAAUAAGCAAGCCACCAGGACCAGCAGAUGGUGUAAUGGCUAUGUUGCUGGACUCCCAUG
Tupaia belangeri chinensis (Chinese tree shrew) is the source of this 2170-nucleotide long non-coding RNA. RefSeq lists it as uncharacterized. Lineage: Eukaryota; Metazoa; Chordata; Mammalia; Scandentia; Tupaiidae. The transcript has 5 exons. The record is from RefSeq and is a predicted model, not a curated record.